GUUCUUUCCUUUCGAGGAGAAGAAUCUACUAAAUCCUCGAGUCUGUUUCUCUGGAGUUGGAGCGGAGGAGGAAGAGGAGGAGCUUGAUUUGGUUGGCCUGUGUUUUGGAUGUUUUGAAUUGAUAGGUGAUCUUAAGAAGCUUCCGCCUUCACCGUCGGAAGCACUACAAGGGGAUUCUGCACCGACUACCGGCGUCAUCACAGAAGUGGCAGUAUCCAUUUCGGACCGAUCAAGGUCCAGAAGAUUGGUGCCACUUUUAGAUGGUAGUUCGUCCUCGGUAAACUCUUCAACUCUUUGGCUUCUCUCGCUGAAUGGAGAUCCACUGAAAUCUGGUUGUGGUCGAAGAGAUUUCAACUGCUUGCUGAGAAGAAAAAUUGUUUCUUGACAUUCUGCCAACUUCUCUGCAGCAGCAGUCAACUCUAUCUCCUGGCUCUUCUGGGGAUCACCACCAAUAGCUGAAGAACAAAUAGCGCAGCAAACCUCAUUCCUCU
Molecule: unclassified non-coding RNA, 491 nt
Filed under: Hevea brasiliensis (rubber tree)
Lineage: Eukaryota; Viridiplantae; Streptophyta; Magnoliopsida; Malpighiales; Euphorbiaceae
Source: RNAcentral